Molecule: ribosomal RNA, 495 nt
Filed under: uncultured bacterium
Lineage: Bacteria
Description: partial 16S ribosomal RNA
Rfam family: Bacterial small subunit ribosomal RNA
Source: RNAcentral
GAUGAACGCUGGCGGCGUGCUUAACACAUGCAAGUCGAACGAAGCACCUCUCACGAUGCUUGACUCAGCUUGCCGUCGAUUGAUUCAUUUGAGGUGACUUAGUGGCGGACGGGUGAGUAACGCGUGUGUAACCUGCCUAAUAGAGGGGGACAACAGUUGGAAACGACUGCUAACACCGCAUAGUAAGAAGAAUUCGCAUGUUUUCUUCUUGAAAGAUUUAUCACUAUGAGAUGGACCAGCGACUGAUUAGCUAGGAGGAAUGGUAACGGCAUACCAGAGCGACGAUCAGUAGCCUGCUAGUGAGAGUCGACCGCCACAUUUGGGCUAGGCAACAGCCCGAACUCCUACGGGAGGGAGGAGUGGGGGAUAGUGCACAAUGGGGGAAGCGCUGAUGGAGCGACGCUGCUAGAGCGAAGAAGUAAUGCGGGAAGUAAAGCGCAAUCAACAAUGAAGAUAAUGACGGUACCUGACUAAAAAGCCCCGGCUAACUACGUG